This 1153-nucleotide long non-coding RNA is filed under the name Micromonas commoda. Its description in RNAcentral is "long non-coding RNA (MCOM_LNC000035)". The record is from RNAcentral. Lineage: Eukaryota; Viridiplantae; Chlorophyta; Mamiellophyceae; Mamiellales; Mamiellaceae.
CGUGCGUGACUCGUGGUUGACGAUAUGGUCAGUGGGACAUUUUUGUGAUCGGCCAUGCCGAAUAAGAUAUAUCGUAAUAUAAUUGGAAACGUAUGUAUUUGCCUGCAUUAUUAAUUGGAAUAACACAUAUUCUAUAUAUGAAGUAAGGUACUUGUAAUAAGCAAACAAGCAAGCAAGGGUUGAAUAAGAAGAUUAGAUUAGUGUCGUGAUGCAUUUCGCAAAGGAAUGGAAAACGGGCUUCGUGCCGAAAAGAACAACGCAACAACCCAAUUAUAAACUGCACGUCUCAGAUGCAGUUGACGGACAAGGGUCUAAGAACGGGUGCCCCUGGACGUUACGGUGUGGGAAACCUUAUCCGUGUGUUGGUGUUAUCUCACUGAUUUUUUAACUUCCGUGAAGGCCUCGUACAUUUUUUAACUUGGUGUCAGCGUAUGAUCGUCAUCAUGUGUUAGACACAUUGCGGCUCUGACAUUUUCUACGUGGGCAGCUCGUUGCUCUUCAAAGAGUUCGAAUGACCUGAAAAAGAUAUACAUGAAGUGCAAGGUAUGCCACCUCGAAUGGUCCGAGCGUCUGAGUGGUUUCGUUGGAACAGCUCCUCGUUCCCGUUCUAUCGCGAUUACAUUUCAUUGAAAUCUGACUUUAUAAACAAUAUCGCAGGAAAAUUAUUGUCCUCCUGUUGAAUUUUUGUACCUGGCGGCAGAUGUGAUAGAGAAGCCAGGGCUUGUGAAGGCAAUGGUGGGAAAUAGAUCACUCGCAAUCCAGGUGAGAGAAAAACUUACUUGAAACACUGGCGAAGACUGCUGGCCGAUGAAUCGUCGCUGCAUUUGGCCUGCUCGACUCUUCGCUGAUGGCAUGCAUCUUCCCUCUACAGAGCGAGCUAUUGAUGCCAGGUGCCACGGGUAAGAAGCAUUAAUGCACCCUUCGUCUCGCUGGUUAUUUUAUAAAUUCUCCAGGCGAGCAAGCACAUAUAUAUAAAACCAACGCCCCUGACCAUCGCGCUUUUGAAGAUGCCUCAAUUUUUACAAAGCCAGAAAAGAAUUUCCCGGUGUGUAUUGAAUACCCGACCCCAACGCCGGCACUCUGGUUUAAUUAAGCGCACGAGUAAGUGCCCAAGAUUUAUGACUCCCUGCAAAUUUGGCACUGCGGCCUUCAG